UGGGGAAUAUUGCACAAUGGGCGCAAGCCUGAUGCAGCCAUGCCGCGUGUAUGAAGAAGGCCUUCGGGUUGUAAAGUACUUUCAGCGAGGAGGAAGGCGUUGUGGUUAAUAACCGCAACGAUUGACGUUACUCGCAGAAGAAGCACCGGCUAACUCCGUGCCAGCAGCCGCGGUAAUACGGAGGGUGCAAGCGUUAAUCGGAAUUACUGGGCGUAAAGCGCACGCAGGCGGUCUGACAAGUCGGAUGUGAAAUCCCCGGGCUCAACCUGGGAACUGCAUCCGAAACUGGCAGGCUAGAGUCUUGUAGAGGGGGGUAGAAUUCCAGGUGUAGCGGUGAAAUGCGUAGAGAUCUGGAGGAAUACCGGUGGCGAAGGCGGCCCCCUGGACAAAGACUGACGCUCAGGUGCGAAAGCGUGGGGAGCAAACA
RNAcentral lists this ribosomal RNA (427 nucleotides) under uncultured bacterium. Its description in RNAcentral is "partial 16S ribosomal RNA". It matches the Rfam family "Bacterial small subunit ribosomal RNA", at positions 355 to 774 of the family's 1533-position model. The record is from RNAcentral.